This 758-nucleotide ribosomal RNA is filed under the name uncultured fungus. RNAcentral describes it as "eukaryotic LSU rRNA". The stretch from base 333 to 487 matches the Rfam family "5.8S ribosomal RNA". The record is from RNAcentral. Lineage: Eukaryota; Fungi.
GGAAGGAUCAUUAAUGAAUGUAUAAAUGGCGCAGUCGAGGAAUUUGGGGGAAAAACAGCUGUCGCUGGCCUUGUAAUUGAGGCAUGUGCACGCUCCCUGAGGACCUCUUCGACGUCUAUCAUCUCAUCUCUCUCACCUGUGCACCUAAUGUAGGUCUGCAUGGUUUUGGUAAAACAGAACUGUGCUAGAGCCUCUCUCUCUGCUCUGCGGGGGGAAAGGACAAAGUACCUAUGUCUUCAAAAUACAUCUUCGUGUAGAAAGUCUUAGAAUGUUUACUAUCAUCGAGUCGCGACUUCUAGGAGACGCGGGUCUUUGAGUUAAAAGUUUAUUACAACUUUCAGCAAUGGAUCUCUUGGCUCUCGCAUCGAUGAAGAACGCAGCGAAACGCGAUAUGUAAUGUGAAUUGCAGAUCUACAGUGAAUCAUCGAAUCUUUGAACGCACCUUGCGCUCCUUGGUAUUCCGAGGAGCAUGCCUGUUUGAGUGUCAGUAAUUUCUCAACCCCUCUUGAUUAGCUUCGAGGGGGAGUUUGGAUAGUGGGGGUUUGCAGGAAACUUGGGCUUUCUAGUUUAAAGUCUAGGAUUCGGGCUCUCCUGAAAUACAUUGGCUUUCGGUCGACUUUCGACUUUGCGUGACAGGCUUUCGGCGUGAUAAUGAUCGCCGUGUGCUGAAGCGCAUGACUGUAAAGUUCCGUGCCUCUAAUAUGUCGACCGACUCUCAGUUGGUCUNCCUUAUUGACUUUUUGACCUCAAAUCAGGUA